RNAcentral lists this ribosomal RNA (338 nucleotides) under uncultured bacterium. RNAcentral's name for it is "partial 16S ribosomal RNA". It matches the Rfam family "Bacterial small subunit ribosomal RNA", at positions 338 to 673 of the family's 1533-position model. The record is from RNAcentral.
CCUACGGGAGGCAGCAGUGAGGAAUAUUGGUCAAUGGGCGCGAGCCUGAACCAGCCAAGUAGCGUGAAGGAUGACUGCCCUACGGGUUGUAAACUUCUUUUAUACAGGACUAAAGUGAGGCACGUGUGCCUUUUUGUAUGUACUUUAUGAAUAAGGAUCGGCUAACUACGUGCCAGCAGCCGCGGUAAUACGGAGGAUCCGAGCGUUAUCCGGAUUUAUUGGGUUUAACGGGAGCGUAGAUGGGUUUUUAAGUCAGUUGUGAAAGUUUGCGGCUCAACCGUAAAAUUGCAAUUGAUACUGGAAGUCUUGAGUAAAGUGAAGGUAGGCGGAAGUCGUGG